AUUGAACGCUGGCGGCAUGCCUUACACAUGCAAGUCGAACGGUAACAGGUCUUCGGAUGCUGACGAGUGGCGAACGGGUGAGUAAUACAUCGGAACGUGCCUAGUAGUGGGGGAUAACUACUCGAAAGAGUGGCUAAUACCGCACGAGAUCUACGGAUGAAAGCAGGGGAUCGCAAGACCUUGUGCUACUAGAGCGGCCGAUGGCAGAUUAGGUAGUUGGUGGGAUAAAAGCUUACCAAGCCGACGAUCUGUAGCUGGUCUGAGAGGACGAUCAGCCACACUGGGACUGAGAAACGGCCCAGACUCCUACGGGAGGCAGCAGUGGGGAAUUUUGGACAAUGGGCGCAAGCCUGAUCCAGCGAUGCCGCGUGCAGGAUGAAGGCCUUCGGGUUGUAAACUGCUUUUGUACGGAACGAAAAGCCCCGGGUUAAUACCCUGGGGUCAUGACGGUACCGUAAGAAUAAGCACCGGCUAACUACGUGCCAGCCGCCGCCGUAA
RNAcentral lists this ribosomal RNA (498 nucleotides) under uncultured bacterium. Its description in RNAcentral is "partial 16S ribosomal RNA". It matches the Rfam family "Bacterial small subunit ribosomal RNA", at positions 30 to 523 of the family's 1533-position model. The record is from RNAcentral.